Molecule: small RNA, 148 nt
Filed under: Oceanihabitans sediminis
Lineage: Bacteria; Pseudomonadati; Bacteroidota; Flavobacteriia; Flavobacteriales; Flavobacteriaceae
Description: Flavo-1 RNA
Rfam family: Flavo-1 RNA
Source: Rfam by way of RNAcentral
UUGUAUGCGUUAAGGAUUGCAGCGGCAUCCUUUUUGUAAAGCUUAUAAAUGAGAGUUUUUGUAAGAAAAGUAUUGUUUAUAAAUGAAAUUACUUUUAGUUGAUUUCUAUCUGAUUUACAAAAAGAUACAGCGGAAAGCCUGACGCACU